GACGAACGCUGGCGGCGUGCUUAACACAUGCAAGUCGAACGGAAAGGCCCUGCUUUUGUGGGGUGCUCGAGUGGCGAACGGGUGAGUAACACGUGAGUAACCUGCCCUUGACUUUGGGAUAACUUCAGGAAACUGGGGCUAAUACCGGAUAGGAGCUCCUGCUGCAUGGUGGGGGUUGGAAAGUUUCGGCGGUUGGGGAUGGACUCGCGGCUUAUCAGCUUGUUGGUGGGGUAGUGGCUUACCAAGGCUUUGACGGGUAGCCGGCCUGAGAGGGUGACCGGCCACAUUGGGACGGAGAUACGGCCCAGACUCCUACGGGAGGCAGAAGUGGGGAAUAUUGCACAAUGGGCGGAAGCCUGAGGCAGCAACGCCGCGUGCGGGAUGACGGCCUUCGGGUUGUAAACCGCUUUCGCCUGUGACGAAGCGUGAGUGACGGUAAUGGGUAAAGAAGCACCGGCUAACUACGU
Molecule: ribosomal RNA, 467 nt
Filed under: uncultured bacterium
Lineage: Bacteria
Description: partial 16S ribosomal RNA
Rfam family: Bacterial small subunit ribosomal RNA
Source: RNAcentral